This 468-nucleotide ribosomal RNA is filed under the name uncultured bacterium. Its description in RNAcentral is "partial 16S ribosomal RNA". It matches the Rfam family "Bacterial small subunit ribosomal RNA", at positions 28 to 507 of the family's 1533-position model. The record is from RNAcentral.
GACGAACGCUGGCGGCGUGCUUAACACAUGCAAGUCGAACGGAACGGCCCUGCUUUGUUGGGGUGCUCGAGUGGCGAACGGGUGAGUAACACGUGAGUAACCUGUCCUUGCCUUUGGGAUAACUUCAUGAAACUUGGUCUAAUACCGUAUAGGAGCUCCUGCUGCUUGGUGGGGGUUGGAAAGUUUCGGCGGUUGGGGAUGUACUCGCGGCUUAUCAGCUUGUUGGUUGGGUAGUGGAUUACCAUGGCUUUGACGGGUAGCCGGGCUGCGAGGGUGAGCGGCCAAAUUGGGAUGGAGAUACGGCCCAGCCUCGUAUGGGAGGCAGCAGUGGGGAAUAGUGCACAAUGGGAGGAGGCCUGAUGUAGUAACGCCGCGUGGGGGAUGACGGCCUUCGGGUUGUAAAGCGAUGCCGCCUGUGACGAAGCGUGAGUGACGGUAAUGGGUAAAGAAGCACCGGCUAACUCCGUG